CUUUAGCCCCGAUGGGAGGGAAAAUCCUUUUAUUUUUUUCUUUAAAAAAUAAAAGAUUUGGAAGGACAGCGGGAAUCCAU
Molecule: small RNA, 80 nt
Filed under: Flavobacterium aquicola
Lineage: Bacteria; Pseudomonadati; Bacteroidota; Flavobacteriia; Flavobacteriales; Flavobacteriaceae
Description: Flavo-1 RNA
Rfam family: Flavo-1 RNA
Source: RNAcentral